This 1362-nucleotide ribosomal RNA is filed under the name Triticum aestivum (bread wheat). RNAcentral's name for it is "partial small subunit ribosomal RNA". Lineage: Eukaryota; Viridiplantae; Streptophyta; Magnoliopsida; Poales; Poaceae. The record is from RNAcentral.
AUGGAAACAACACCCAUCCAGCUCGUGAGCUACACUUUCCUCUGCGUCCUUGUCGUCACCGUACUCCUCAAGCUCAGGUCAGCCUCUGGUAGCCGGCCGAACCUGCCUCCGGGCCCAUGGGCGCUGCCGGUGGUCGGCCACAUGCACUUCCUGCUCGGCGCCCUGCCGCACCAGGCCAUGCGCAGUCUCUCCCGGCGGCACGGCCCCGUGAUGCUCCUCCGCCUCGGCCACGUCCCGACGCUCGUGCUCUCCUCCGCGGAGGCGGCAAGGCAGCUGAUGAAGGUCCACGACGCCGCCUUCGCGAACCGGCCCGUGUACACCACCGCGGACGUCUUCACCAACGGCGGCCAGAACAUCUCCUUCGCGCGCCACGACACGAAAGACCGUCCGGAAGUUCUGCACCCACUAGUAGUGGAGCUGCUCAGCCCGAGGCGCGUCCGCUCGUUCCGCCCUGUCCGGGAGGAGGAGGCGGCGAGGCUCGUGCGGUCCGUCGCUGACGCUGGCGCCCUCGUCGAUGUCGGCGAGAGAGUGAAGGUCAUGAUGAACGACGUCAUCAUGAGGGUUUCCGUCGGCGACCGGUGCCAGCAGAGGGCGCUGUACCUCAAGGAGCUGGAUAGGGCGAUCGACCUCAUGUCCGGGUUCAACUUGACCGACCUGUUCCCGACGUCGCGGCUGGCGCGGGUGCUCGGCAGCCGGUCCCUUAGGGCGACGUGGGAGGUGCACGGGAGGAUCCAGUCCAUCAUGGACGCCAUGGUCCAUGAGCACAAGAUGGCGAUGGGGAGCGAGGAAGCCAGCGCCGGCCAUGAGAGGGAGGACAUCCUCACCACUCUGCUACGGUUCCAGAGAGACGGUGGGAUGGGUGGCAUCGCCCUCACAAACGAAAAUGUCAGCGGCGUCUUGUUCGACGUUUUUUCCGCGGGGUCGGAAACCACGGCGACAACGACGAUCUGGGCCAUGUCAGAGCUUAUCAGAAACCCACGGAUAAUGGCCAUCGCGCAAUCUGAAGUGCGGCGGGUGCUCCAAGGCAAAACCAAGGUGGCGGAGGCCGACAUCGACGGCCGGCUCCACUACCUCCAGAUGGUCAUCAAGGAGACCUUCAGGUUGCACCCUCCGGUGCCGUUGCUCAUCCCCAGGUUGUGCACGGAACAGCGCAAGAUCAUGGGCUUCGACGUGCCUCCGGGCACCACCGUGUUCGCGAACGUGUGGGCGAUCGGUAGGGACGAGAAGAGCUGGACCGACGCCGAAGAGUUCAAGCCUGAGAGGUUUGAGAGCGAGAUGGUAGACUAUGGUGGGACGUCAAAAAAUGUAUUUUGCCAAGGUCAGAAAGAGGUCUUGGUACCCCACCUUCCUAUUUUACGUUGA